GAAGUAUGUUGUAACAAACAAAAGCUGCUAACUUUUUAUUUUAAUGGUUAAAUUCCAUUUAUACUUCU
This 68-nucleotide transfer RNA is filed under the name Heteropsilopus ingenuus. RNAcentral's name for it is "tRNA-Ser". Lineage: Eukaryota; Metazoa; Arthropoda; Insecta; Diptera; Dolichopodidae. The record is from RNAcentral.